RNAcentral lists this ribosomal RNA (497 nucleotides) under uncultured bacterium. RNAcentral's name for it is "partial 16S ribosomal RNA". It matches the Rfam family "Bacterial small subunit ribosomal RNA", at positions 28 to 507 of the family's 1533-position model. The record is from RNAcentral.
GAUGAACGCUGGCGGCGUGCCUAAUACAUGCAAGUCGAGCGAACGGACGAGAAGCUUGCUUCUCUGAUGUUAGCGGCGGACGGGUGAGUAACACGUGGAUAACCUACCUAUAAGACUGGGAUAACUUCGGGAAACCGGAGCUAAUACAGGAUAAUAUUUUGAACCGCAUGGGUCAAAAGUAAAAGACGGUCUUGCGGUCACUUAUAGAUGGAUCCGCGCUGCAUUAGCUAGUUGGUAAGGUAACGGCUUACCAAGGCAACGAUGCAUAGCCGACCUGAGAGGGUGGUCGGCCACACUGGAACUGAGACACGGUCCAGACUACUACGGGAGGCAGCAGUAGGGAAUCGUCCGCAAUGGGCGAAAGCCUGACGGAGCGACGCCGCGUGAGUGAUGAAGGUCUUCGGAUCGUAAAACUCUGUUAUUAGGGAAGAACAUAUGUGUAAGUAACUGUGCACAUCGUGACGGUACCUAAUCAGAAAGCCACGGCUAACUACGUG